AUGUGGACAUUUGAACAUCAGAAAAGAGGCUACAUGGCUAUCACAUCGCAUUUCGUUGAUGAAUCCUGGAAGCUUCGGAGCUAUAUUAUGAGAUUUAUUUAUGUUCCAGCACCACAUACAACUCGUGUAAUUGCUGAGAUACUUCAUGAUGCACUGGUCGAAUGGUAUCUAGAAGAUAAGGUAUCUACAUUGACUGUUGAUAAUGCCACAACAAAUGAUGCUUGCAUUCCCAUAUUAGAGAAUCUGAUAGGUCCAAGUAAGCUUAUGUUAGGUGGCAAGCUUUUACAUAUGCGUUGUUAUGCGCAUAUUCUUAACCUGAUAGUCAAGGAUGGUUUGGAUGUGUUAGAAGAAUCGAUUGAGAAAAUCCAUGAUAGUGUUGCAUUCUGGACUAGCACACCUAAGAGAAUAGAGAAUUUUCAAGAGGUUGCCAAGAUGUUGAAAGUAGACCAAAGUAAAAAAUUAUCCCUUGAUGUGAAAACACGAUGGAACUCUACGUACUUUAUGCUUAGUGUUGCUUUACGCUACAAGAGUGUAUUUAAUCGCUUGAGGCAGCGGGAAAAGACCUUUACUUGUGCUCCUAGUGAUGAUGAUUGGAAAUUUUGUGGAGAAGUCUGUGAUAGGCUUAAGUUGUUUGCUGACAUUACUGAAAUAUUUUAUGGGACUCAGUAUGUGACUGCUAAUAUUUACUUCCCUAAGAUCUAUGAAAUUAAAAUGAAUAUAAGGAAGUGGUCGAAGUGUGGGAAUGAAAUUAUUGAAGCUAUGUCAGAUGCUAUGAGUGCAAAAUUUUACAAGUACUGUUCCGAUAUCCAAGGCUUCAUGGGUAUUGCUACACUCCUUGAUCCACGGUUUAAGAUUGAUAUGCUGCAUGUGUGCUUUGAAAUGCUCCUUGGUGAUGAGUCCAUUGUUGAUUGUGAGAGUAAAGUUCAUGAGAUCCGUGAGUUAGUGUCUAGCCUGAUGCUUGAAUAUCAAAUGGAGAAUGAGCAAGAGAAUACAGAAGCCCAGUCUGUCUCCAUUUCUGCAAUGGAAGCUAACAAGGUGAUGUCCAUCUUCAGUGCACGAGUAGCUAGAAAGAUGCCCGUAACCAGUUUAUCCAGAAUAGAGUUAGAACACUACUUGGAUGAUGAGUAUGUGCCAGCUAAUCAAGAGAAUUUUGAUGUGUUGGGAUGGUGGAAUGUUGCUGGUUCACGCUACCCAACUUUGAGGGCUAUUGCGCUUGAUAUAUUUGCCAUCCCAGUAACUACAAUAGCUUCCGAGUCAGCUUUUAGUAGAAGUGGAAGAGUACUUAGUGAGCACCGCAGUCGUCUGACCCCUGAUUUGCUAGAGGCUUUAAUGUGUUCACAAAACUGGGAGAGAAACAAAGCUAAAGGUCUGCACAUUUCUCUAUCAUUUGAUCCUUUAACC
Molecule: ribosomal RNA, 1401 nt
Filed under: Triticum aestivum (bread wheat)
Lineage: Eukaryota; Viridiplantae; Streptophyta; Magnoliopsida; Poales; Poaceae
Description: partial small subunit ribosomal RNA
Source: RNAcentral